CCAGCUGAUGCCUUGUCUGCAACUUGGUGAGAGACCCUGAGCCAGAGGACCCAGAAGGCUACAUGAAGACAUGGAGACAUUCAGGGAAGAUGGCCACAUGAAGAAAGAGGCAGAGACUGGAGUGAUGCCUGUGUAAGCUGAGGAACACCAAGGAUUGCCGGCAACCACUAGAAACUGGGAGAGGCAAAGAAAGGAUCCCCCCCUUAGAGCCUUUGGAAGGAGCAGGAGUCUGCCAACCCUUUCAUUUCAGACUUCUGGCCUCCAGGUUUGUGAGAGAAUAAAUUUCUAUUGUUUUAAGCCA
Molecule: long non-coding RNA, 301 nt
Organism: Myotis brandtii (Brandt's bat)
Lineage: Eukaryota; Metazoa; Chordata; Mammalia; Chiroptera; Vespertilionidae
Exons: 2
Source: RefSeq, a predicted model, not a curated record